GGAGAGUCCAGGUUGGCGGUUCCUGGGGCGGGGCCAGGAUAGGGCGAUCCUGGAAGCUGGGCUUCGGAAGCGUGCAGCUGUUGUUCCACACCAGAACCAAAUGAGCGCAAGAUCUGACAAAAAAAAAAGUCCCUGUAUCCUGAGAUGGAGUCACCUGAGAAUCCACAGCAAGUCCUAACCAGGGAUGGGUCUGGGUGAUUAAGGAAGAUUGGCUUCAGAACUGGGCCAGGGGCACUGCUUUGCUUUUGCUGUUUUGAUCAGCUCUCUGCCUGCAGGAGACGAGGAAAACCAAUGGGAACAGGGUCUCUCUCUCUGCCACUCAGGCCAGAGUGCAGUUGACGCAGAGCAGGGGAGCCCUGAAAUGGAGCAUAGUGUGUCCGGAACUGGUGGGUUCUUGGUCUCACUGACUUCAAGAAUGAAGCUGCGGACCCUCGGGAUGAGUGUCACAGUUCUUAAAGGUGGCUUGUCUGGAGUUUGUUCCUUCUGAUGCUCUGAUGUGUUCAGAGUUUCUUCUUUCUGGUGGGUUUGUGGUCUCACUGGCUUCAGGAGUGAAGCUGCAGACCUUCAAGGUGAGUGUUACAGCUCUUAAGGCGGUGCGUCUGGAGUUGUUUGUUCCUCCCGGUGGGUUCAUAGUCUCGCUGGCUUCAGGAGUG
RNAcentral lists this long non-coding RNA (653 nucleotides) under Homo sapiens (human). RNAcentral describes it as "HSALNT0068922". Lineage: Eukaryota; Metazoa; Chordata; Mammalia; Primates; Hominidae. The record is from RNAcentral.